This is a long non-coding RNA of Oreochromis niloticus (Nile tilapia), 309 nucleotides long. RefSeq lists it as uncharacterized. NCBI's taxonomy places the organism in Eukaryota, Metazoa, Chordata, Actinopteri, Cichliformes, Cichlidae. The transcript is spliced from 3 exons. The record is from RefSeq and is a predicted model, not a curated record.
CCGUGGUCCAGUUGAAAGUGCAGGUGGAUAGAGAGAGUACCACUUGCCUGUGCCACCUGCAUGUAUUUUCCACUUGCUUAGAGUACCAUCCCAGGGGAGGGUUAAAACAAAAAUUAAUGUAUUUUUUAGGUGGAGUCCAAUCGCCAGACAGAGGGUAGUUCAGGAGGUCAGCAGUGGGGCUAGCGGAGGUGACAAAGCAGUUCUGGAGACCAGCUGCAGAGCAGAUCUGGAGGCCAAGCGAUAGGCAAGCAACGGAGGAGGCGUGACCUGGGAGGUGGCCUGGCAGCAGGCCAACAGUGACUGUAUAGC